CAGCAGCCACGGUAAUACGUAGGGUGCGAGCGUUAAUCGGAAUUACUGGGCGUAAAGCGUGCGUAGGCGGUGAGUUAAGUCUGCUGUGAAAUCCCCGGGCUCAACCUGGGAAUGGCAGUGGAUACUGGCUCGCUAGAGUGUGUCAGAGGGUGGUGGAAUUCCCGGUGUAGCGGUGAAAUGCGCAGAUACCGGGAGGAACGCCGAUGGCGAAGGCAGCCACCUGGUCCACUUCUGACGCUGAGGCGCGAAAGCGUGGGGAGCAAACCGGAUUAGAUACCCCUGUAGUCCCUGUCUCUUAUAC
This 301-nucleotide ribosomal RNA is filed under the name uncultured bacterium. RNAcentral describes it as "partial 16S ribosomal RNA". It matches the Rfam family "Bacterial small subunit ribosomal RNA", at positions 509 to 807 of the family's 1533-position model. The record is from RNAcentral.